AAUAAAGACCACAUCUCCCUCCCCGCUGAGGUUCACUGUAUGAAACCAUCUUAGAUUGUUGCGGGGUCAUGACUGAGACCCGUGGGCAGAGGCGGCCCUCCAUGGGGAAACCUACUUUGAGGUGGAGAGAGUCAGCUGCUGGCAGGGCAGAGACUCAUCUUGGGAAAAGUCUGGUUCUGGCACUUGUUCUAGCCUGGCCUUGUGCAAGGGCUUCAAAUCAAUGACUGAGAAGGUGAGUUGGGGGUGAGUUUAGGAUGCCCAGCUGGGCUCCACGGCUCAAUGGCCAGCCAAAGCUGAGAGGAAUUGGCAGAGGUCACUGUCCUUCCCACCCCUUCCAAUGCAUCCGCACCCCGCUGUACCCUUCUGCAGUUUCCCUGGGGUUUCUGGAGGCAUGUAGGAGUUUUAAUUCCAAUGCAAGUUUGCAUCAACCUGGAAUGCAUGUCCUGAGUAGGCAUUCUAGAAGCAGGGUAUCACCCUUGAGGUGAGACCCCAGCGGCACGGGACUUGAAUUUCUGCUACUUGUCCCAGUGGGGCCAGGGCUUUGUAACUGGACAAGGCUUAGGGGAGGAGCUGCAUAAGGACCCACAAGAGCAAUGUGAGUCCCAUGGGGUCAGAUGACCAUCGCAGACCGCACCCUUUGUGCUUCCUGCUUUCUCACUUACAGUGACCGUGAUGCUGGUGUAUAUGUUGGCCAAGGUGGAGAGAGCUGGGCUUGGAAAUCAGAGACCUGGGUGAGAAAGUGGCUGCUGCUAUGUCUCAGCUGUCACUCCUCCCUGGGGGCAUCACUCCUUUCUCCUGGCUCAGAUUUCCUUGUCUGGGUGUUGGGUGAUGCCUCAGAGCAGGCCUGUGGAAGAGCCUGUUUGACACUGAACGUCCUUGGAUGCCCCCUGAUACUGCUAUUUAUGCCUCACGAGCUCAGUUUGGGUCAGGGGUGAGUUUUUCCUGUUCACUCGUGUCUUGGUGACAGCAUUUAACAAAGAGACGUUUUAAGGCAUCUUCUGAACUUGUGAAUUUUGAGACAAGAAUUCUAGCUUUACAAAAUCGCUUGCAGAAACAAAUUCUGAACUGCAAUUUACUUUGCUUAAUGAAAAGAAACCAAAAAGCGUGGGCUUGCUGCUUGGCUGGAUAUUUUCUCUAGACAUGGCCCAGCCCAUACACGUUCGUGAGCCCCAGGUCUCCAAGCCAGGAGCUUUCAAACUUCAGUAGGUUGACGACCGUGUACAGAAAGUAAUCAAGGAGGCUCGUCCUGGAAUUCCAAAAUAGGGAGUCCUGACUUUGCAUCUAGGCGGAUCACCACGCCGAGUUAAGAAAUGAAACGCCUGCCAGUCCCUGGCAACUCAUCACAACGUGUGCUGCUGAUUAUUUCGGACCCGAAUUAGAAUUUCCCAACAGAGUCCAUCCGUGGGGUGUGGUGUAAAGUCCAGAGCGUGCCCUGGAAUAGUCUGGUUUCUGGAACAAGCCAUCUAGAGGACUGCUGGGCCGAGUCUAUCAGUGUCUGGUGUCUGUGACGGUGAGCAGUUCAGGGCACACAAUGGAGGGACACAGGUUUAGUUUUAGCAAGGGUGCGUCCCCUUGGAGAGCGCAUGUGUGUGUAACCUCCAAGUGGGAGGAGGCGGCGGGAGGGAGGUGCUGAGGCCUGGAUGCCCUGGCUACCUGGGAGUUCACAGUCCCUGCAUCCGCUCAGCUGCACCUCCCUGGACUCAAAGUCACUCCUGAGAAGGAAGGCUUUGCCGUGUCAUCUGACGGUUCAGGUCGUUACAUUGGCCUUGUAUCCAACGGCUCGCUUCAAUAUCGACUUCAUUUUCUCCUGUCUCCAUCCUAAUUUUCCACUGACACUGUUGUGUAAUUGCCUGAGGCCUGGGUAAUUAAUUGUUCGUUCUGGUUGCAUCAGUUUAGUCCUCAUGAGCGCGGAGGCCCCCAUGUUGGGAAGGUCUCUGAAUUGGAUUUUCAUCUGUUCGGCACUGUCAUCGUUAAUUACGAGAGUCGGAGUGAGGCCAUUUUGAAAAUGAAAACACAUUACCAUGACUUCCAGGCAUACUGGAUCCCAUUAAGUUUCUCUUUCUGCUGCCUUGCAGAUACAUGCAGAUAAUGGCUUCAGAUUGACGUGUAGAUAGACGUAUAGAUAAGAUCAUGCCCUUGGAGGCGCUUCUAUUCUCCUGACAAGGGUACCCGUGAGGGAUGCCUAUUUCUUGAUUUUGCUGUGCUCAACUUAAUCUGACAGUUGUACCCUUUGAGAAAGAAAAGAGAAGCGAGCCCCAGGAGACGGCCGCGGCCGCAUUGUUCAGCAGGAGGGGGCUCUUGUUGGCAGAGGGCCCGUGCAAUAAAGGUCUAUUUGAGAUGCAGUUUGAGUCUCCCCUCGGCCCCCGUGUGCAGGGUACCUCUCUUUUAUGGAUUCUUUGAGCACAUUUUACUCAUGGCCACAUGGCAAUGUGUCAGUUUACCUGCCUGUCACCACCUCCUAGAAGGACAUGAACCUCCAGCACCAGAUGCUGCAUCUGUGGACAGAAUAAUGGCUCCAUAGACAUGUCCACGCCCUUAUCCCUGAAAUCUGUAAGUACUUAUCUAGUGAAAGGGACUUUCCAGAUGGGAUUAAAUUAACUAUCUGGAGAUGGGGAGAUUCUCCUGGAUUACCUGGGUGGGCCCACUGUAGUCACAGGGUCCUGACAGGAGGGAGGCAGGAAGGUCAAAGGCAGAAAUAGGAGAUGUGAUGACGGAACCAAAGCUACUCCAGGUUGGAGGGAUGAGCUUUGAAGAUGGAGGAGGGGCCAUGAGCCAAGGAACGCAGGUGCCUCUAGAAGCUGGAAAAGACAAGGAAACAGAUUCUCCCCCAGAGCCUGCAAGAGGAAGGCAGCCCUGUGGACGCCUGGAUUUUAGAGUUCUGGCCUCCAGAGCUGGAAGAGGAUAAAUUGUUUUUUUUAAGUCACUGAGUUUACGGUAAUUUGUUACAGCAGAAGUAGGAAACUCAUAUGGUUCCCGAUCCUUACCAGGUGCUGAGUGUUGGUCGAAUGAAAGAUUGCUGGAAAAGGUGAAGCCCCAGAAAUGUGGUUUUCACGUGAAAUCAAUUUCAGGAUGAGUGCAAAUAAACUCACUGUCUCCUCACUCUGCUGAAAUGAAGACCGUUUACUGCCUUUUGAUUCAUGAGGCUGAAUAUUCACAUGCACGGAGCGAUUUUGGUGAAGAGCAGCCUUCGACUGACAAUUACAGCACCGUGUAAGACAUCUAUUAAAUGGGAGCUUAAAGGUUUCCAUUUAGCUUCCUUUCAUGAAGUUUUCAUGAUGUGUUUAAAGUAAAAAUUGUGAGUAUGUCACCCUAUCAUCUUUUUCAAAGACACAGGAAAAAGACCCUGUUGCAAUGAUUUCUUGUUCCUGAAGCAAAACUCGGAGAGAAUAAGUCUCAAAGACAGCUGUGUUGAUUAUGUUGCUACCACACGCAGUCUCACGUCUCAGCUUCCAGGGAGGGCCUUCCAGGACAGUACGUGUCCCGAAGUGUGCCACCCUCUCCGGGAGAGCCAGCUGGUAGUUUUUGGCAGCUGGUGGCAUUGAACUUGAGCUUCGUUUUGGAAACAUCUUCUAAGACUCACCUGCUGCUACACCUAAUGGUACCAGACCUUGGGAGACAGUGUAGUCAGGAACCAAAGGGGCUCGUGCGAAGAAUGAGCUGGUGUGGUAGGAGACGGCCACAGAAGGGAAAACGCCUGAUUCUCCGUGGGCCUUCUCCACACACCGGGAGGCAGGCGUUCUUAGUGUCCUUCGCCCAGCUGCACCCCCACCAGUUUCAGAGGAAUGUCCAUGCUGGGAAUCUGGUUUUCCCCUGGAACGCCAUCUCUGUUUAACAUCAGAGGGUGAUGGAUUUUUUUAAACAGGAGAGUGGCUUGGCAUACUCCUCUACUGGCACAUCCACUUGUUAGGGAGGGGACCCCAUGUGCUGCAUCUUCAUGGGAGUUGUGGAAGCACCACAGAGAGUCAGUGGGCAUCUCGGCGGAAGACGAUUAGAAAGGAGUCUUCUCUGGACUGGGAAGCAUGUGAAGGAGGGCCGGAAGGGGGGCUGGAUGCGUGGAAUUCAGGUUUGUAUCACAGCUUCAGGAAGGCACUUUCAGCUGAUUGAGUAGCAUCUUGUCAUUAUUUAAGCUGCUGUCCAUCAGUAGUCUUAAAAUCCUUAUUCUCUUCUUGGUGACUUAUAGGAGAUUCUGACAUCAACUGUAAAAAGAAGAACAUUUAAAAUUCUAUUUACUUGAGAAUAAUUGUGAGGCCAAGUUGUAUCAGAAAAUCCAUUAAGUACUUAAAAGAUUAAUUUUCGUUAUGACUGCUAGUUAGUAAAUAUUAUCUUUUAUAUCAUCCUGAACAAUAAUAUGAGGGAUGGGAACUAUUUAACUUGUUUUGGUUUGAUUUUAAAACUUUAAUUAUGGUAAUAUUUGGCAUUAUUAUUAGUAUUAUAAGAGGACUGAAGCAAAUUACUUUUGGUGGUUGAUUUCUUGAAACAGUUUUUACUGGAUCACUGGAAAUGAAGCUUAAAUCCUGGAAGCAAGUGUAGAGAUGGGAGGAAAUUGAGUCUAAUGGGAGAAGAGUAAAGUUACCUGGGAAUUCCGAUUUAUUUUGGGCAAAAUCUCUUAUGGUUAGUUGCGUAAUGAUGAAGGAGUCGGUGUUCUGCCUGUUCAUUCAUUCAUUCAUUCAUUCAAUGAGUACUUACCGAAGCUGAUGCAUUCUUUUUUGGGGGGAGUGAUAUUAAUUUAAAAAAUUUUAUUUUUAAUAAGCAAUGUGUAGAUCUAAGAUAUACAAUAUGCUGAUUGGAUAUUCGUAUAUGUAGUGAAAUGAUUACUAUAGUAAAGCUAAUUAACAUAUCUUCUCCUUACGUAGUUACUGUCUUUGCUGUGAAAUGAGAGCACCUGAAAUUUACUUGUGGGGGACUGGAAUUGGCCACCCCAAGAUAUGCCUCUUUGGCAUGAGGAUUAUUUUGGGCUGGUUACCUUAAAAACUGCGGAUAGGAAAGAAACUCGGAAAAGUAGAAUUUACUUACCCUUUGUUAAGAGACAUUUAUAUUGUAAAAGAAAUCUCCAUCUGUAAAGGGGUCUCCCUCUCUGUACCAGGAAGAAGGGGGGUGACCUUAUCUCUAGAAACUCUUAUCAAUGCAGAAGGCAAGGACUUAAAUCUGCAUAAUAACCUGAUUCUUGUUUACUGUGCUUUUCUGGCAAUCUCCUGUAACUGACUCCCCUCAGCCCCAACAUCCUCCUUUGUCUUUAACUGAAGAUGAUAUUUAAGGUGGUAGCUUCAGCCAUUUUGGCGAGUUGCUCAGCUUGCCUGAGCCUCUCCCAUGUAUACAUGUUAUAAAGCUUUCUUUAAUUUUCUCCUGUUAUUUUGUCUCAUGUGAAUUUAAUUCAUUCUUUGGCCAUAAGGACCCAGAGUGGGUAGAGG
This is a long non-coding RNA of Equus caballus (horse), 5408 nucleotides long. The record is from Ensembl. Lineage: Eukaryota; Metazoa; Chordata; Mammalia; Perissodactyla; Equidae.